RNAcentral lists this unclassified non-coding RNA (1351 nucleotides) under uncultured Neocallimastigales. Its description in RNAcentral is "partial contains internal transcribed spacer 1, 5.8S ribosomal RNA, internal transcribed spacer 2, and large subunit ribosomal RNA". The stretch from base 585 to 1351 matches the Rfam family "Eukaryotic large subunit ribosomal RNA", at positions 1 to 626 of the family's 3401-position model. Lineage: Eukaryota; Fungi; Neocallimastigomycota; Neocallimastigomycetes; Neocallimastigales. The record is from RNAcentral.
AAAAUAAUCCUACCCUUUGUGAAUUUUGUUUGUUUGAAUAAUUUUUUUUUUUAAAAAUUAUUGGAGUCUUUCCUUUAGAGUUUGCUUUUGAGUUUGUAAAAGAAUUCGAAAACAUCUAAAGGGGAUGGUCAAUAAUUUUUUUUGAAAAAAGACAUUUUUUAAAAUUAAACUUUUGUAUUCAUUUGUCUAAAAUUAUUUUUAUAAUAUAAAAACAACUUUUGACAAUGGAUCUCUUGGUUCUCGCAACGAUGAAGAACGCAGCAAAAUGCGAUAAGUAGUGUGAAUUGCAGAAUACGUGAGUCAUCGAUCUUUGACGCAUAUUGCACUUUCUUAGUUUACUAAAAAAGUAUGUCUGUUUGAGUAUCAGUAAAAUAUUCUCAUAAAAAUCAUUGUGUAUUUUUAUGGUAUGAGUGUUUUACAACGAUACAAGUUGUUUCACUUUAAAUUUUUUUUAAUAUUGAAAUUUUUCUAAUUUUAAUAAUUAAAAUUGGAUAAAUUUUCCCGUCAAAAGGAAUAACCUAAACAAUUUUAAAUGAUUAAUUUUAGCAAAAUUUCGAAAAAGGAAAAUUUUUAUUAAAAUAACUUGAUCUCAAACCAGAUAAGAGUACCCGCUGAACUUAAGCAUAUCAAUAAGCGGAGGAAAAGAAACUAACAAGGAUUCCCUUAGUAACGGCGAGUGAAGCGGGAAGAGCUCAAAUUUGAAAUCUUCAAGGUUUUACCUUGACGAAUUGUAGUUUAAAGAAGUGUUUUCUGCUGAAGUUUGGUAAAAGUUCUUUGGAAUAGGACAUCAUAGAGGGUGAGAAUCCCGUAUUUGACCAUUAUUUUCAGCUUGUGAUACACUUUCAAAGAGUCGGAUUGUUGGGAAUGCAGUCCAAAAUGGGUGGUAAAUUUCAUCUAAAGCUAAAUAUUGGCGAGAGACCGAUAGCGAACAAGUACCGUGAGGGAAAGAUGAAAAGAACUUUGAAAGAGAGUUAAACAGUACGUGAAAUUGUCAAAAGGGAAGCGUUUGACACCAGUGUUGUUUUCUCGAAAAUCAAUUAAAAAUGGCUCGAUUUUGUAUUGCUGAGACCUUAAAAGCUCACUGUACAUUUUUCGUGUCUUUUUUAAUGCACUUUUCGUUUAACAAGUCAACAUCAGUUUCUUUUGUUGUAAAAGGGUCAUUGGAAGGUGGCUUCCUUUCGGAGAAAGUGUUUAUAGCCUUUGGCCUCUGCAAUCGAAGAGACUGAGGUCUGCAGCGUAGACUCUUCGGGUUAGAUACAUUUGUGCUAAGUUAUAGCUUUUUAUAGACAACUUGUUGACUAUAAUUAGUCUGUAGCUUACUCGCUUAUGCUAUUUACCUACGCUUAGGAUG